UACAGGGGGGGCAAGCGUUGUCCGGAAUUAUUGGGCGUAAAGAGCUCGUAGGCGGCUUGUCACGUCGAUUGUGAAAGCCCGAGGCUUAACCUCGGGUCUGCAGUCGAUACGGGCUAGCUAGAGUGUGGUAGGGGAGAUCGGAAUUCCUGGUGUAGCGGUGAAAUGCGCAGAUAUCAGGAGGAACACCGGUGGCGAAGGCGGAUCUCUGGGCCAUUACUGACGCUGAGGAGCGAAAGCGUGGGGAGCGAACAGG
RNAcentral lists this ribosomal RNA (253 nucleotides) under uncultured bacterium. Its description in RNAcentral is "partial 16S ribosomal RNA". It matches the Rfam family "Bacterial small subunit ribosomal RNA", at positions 524 to 776 of the family's 1533-position model. The record is from RNAcentral.